RNAcentral lists this ribosomal RNA (460 nucleotides) under uncultured bacterium. Its description in RNAcentral is "partial 16S ribosomal RNA". It matches the Rfam family "Bacterial small subunit ribosomal RNA", at positions 338 to 795 of the family's 1533-position model. The record is from RNAcentral.
CCUACGGGUGGCAGCAGUGAGGAAUAUUGGUCAAUGGGAGGAAUCCUGAACCAGCCAUGCCGCGUGCAGGACGACGGCUCUACGAGUUGUAAACUGCUUUUGUACUGGGGUAAAAUGCCUUACGUGUAUGGUUUUGAUAGUACGGUACGAAUAAGGAUCGUCUAACUCCGUGCCAGCAGCCGCGGUAAUACGGAGGAUUCGAGCGUUAUCCGGAUUGAUUGGGUUUAAAGGGUGCGUAGGGUGGUUUAUAAGUUAGAGGUGAAAUAACGAGGCUCAACUUCGGGGCUGCAGCUAAUACUGUUGGACUAGAGUUCAGAUGCGGCGGGCGGAAUGUGAUGUGUAGCGGUGGAAUGCAUAGAUAUAAGACAGAACACCGAUUGCGAAGGCAGCUUGCUAGGCCGCAUCUGACACUGAGGCACGAAAGCGUGGGUAGCGAACAGGAUUAGAUACCCCUGUAGUC